AAUAUUGGACAAUGGGCGAAAGCCUGAUCCAGCCAUGCCGCGUGUGUGAAGAAGGCCUUCGGGUCGUAAAGCUCUGUUGUUAGGGAAGAACAAGUAUCGGAGUAACUGCCGGUACCUUGACGGUACCUAACCAGAAAGCCACGGCUAACUACGUGCCAGCAGCCGCGGUAAUACGUAGGUGGCAAGCGUUGUCCGGAAUUAUUGGGCGUAAAGCGCGCGCAGGCGGUCUCUUAAGUCUGAUGUGAAAGCCCCCGGCUCAACCGGGGAGGGUCAUUGGAAACUGGGAGACUUGAGUGCAGAAGAGAAGAGCGGAAUUCCACGUGUAGCGGUGAAAUGCGUAGAGAUGUGGAGGAACACCAGUGGCGAAGGCGGCUCUUUGGUCUGUAACUGACGCUGAGGCGCGAAAGCGUGGGGAGCAAACAGG
This 424-nucleotide ribosomal RNA is filed under the name uncultured bacterium. RNAcentral describes it as "partial 16S ribosomal RNA". It matches the Rfam family "Bacterial small subunit ribosomal RNA", at positions 360 to 776 of the family's 1533-position model. The record is from RNAcentral.